RNAcentral lists this long non-coding RNA (789 nucleotides) under Monodelphis domestica (gray short-tailed opossum). RNAcentral describes it as "lncRNA (ENSMODG00000047091.1)". Lineage: Eukaryota; Metazoa; Chordata; Mammalia; Didelphimorphia; Didelphidae. The record is from RNAcentral.
CUUCUAGACCCUGGAGAUACUGACACAGAAACAAUGAAAAAGUCCCAGCUCACUAGGAGCUUGCCUUCUCUUGGGAAAGAAAAUAUGUACAUAUGUAAACAUAUAAACACAACAUAAUUUGGGAAGGAGAGUCCUAGCAGUGAGAGAUCCAGGAGAACCUUCUCACAGGAGGCAGAGGUUGUGGUUAUCUUGAAGGAAGAGGGGGACUCAAGGUGGAAGUAAGGAGAGCAGGGGGCACAGCCACUAAGGUAAUACAGAAACAAGAAAUGGAUGAUGGCCAUGUGUGAAGAACAGAAAUAGGCAGGGAAAGUGAGGAGAGAGCAGUUUAUGUAUUUGAUCCAGGAGAAAUAGGGAAUCACUUUCGCAUUUUUAUUGAAAGAUAGAUUGGAGAGGAAAAAAAUUCUUGGUGUCCUUCACACUCUGUACUCACUACAUAUUCCUCACCUUCACAUCAUUCAUCAUUGACAUCUUUCAUAUGCAGAUAAUAUUAUUGAUGCUCAAAACCUGGAAGACUUUCUGAAGGCUAUGGGGGUUGAACUGACAAAAAAAGAAAAGCAAGCUCUUCUGAAACAACUGCCACUUGAUGCCAAUGGGAAGAUGAAUAAGAAGGAUAUAAUGAAUGCUCUACAGAAUUUCAGUGGAGGGAAAAUUGAUGUUAACAACUUGAACCAGCUUCUGGGAAACCUGGGGAUCAAGCUCACAGAUAGUGAAAUGAGGGAGCUACUGAGUAAUCUGCCAGUUGAUGGUGAGCAUUUCUCAUGCCUCUGUGAGCUUGUGGGGAAUAUUUGA